RNAcentral lists this ribosomal RNA (253 nucleotides) under uncultured bacterium. RNAcentral's name for it is "partial 16S ribosomal RNA". It matches the Rfam family "Bacterial small subunit ribosomal RNA", at positions 524 to 776 of the family's 1533-position model. The record is from RNAcentral.
UACGAAGGGGGCUAGCGUUGUUCGGAUUUACUGGGCGUAAAGCGCACGUAGGCGGCUCGUUAAGUCGGGGGUGAAAUCCUGGAGCUCAACUCCAGAACUGCCUUCGAUACUGGCGAUCUUGAGUCCGGAAGAGGUGAGUGGAACUCCUAGUGUAGAGGUGGAAUUCGUAGAUAUUAGGAAGAACACCAGUGGCGAAGGCGGCUCACUGGUCCGGUACUGACGCUGAGGUGCGAAAGCGUGGGGAGCAAACAGG